This 324-nucleotide RNase P RNA is filed under the name Prevotellaceae bacterium. RNAcentral describes it as "RNase P RNA component class A". It matches the Rfam family "Bacterial RNase P class A". Rfam says of the family: Ribonuclease P (RNase P) is a ubiquitous endoribonuclease, found in archaea, bacteria and eukarya as well as chloroplasts and mitochondria. Lineage: Bacteria; Pseudomonadati; Bacteroidota; Bacteroidia; Bacteroidales; Prevotellaceae. The record is from RNAcentral.
UCGGUAUGCCGUCUUAUCGCUCUUCGGAUAACUGAAGGGAGGAAAGUCCGGACAAUACAGAGUACUGCUCUGUGGAAAGCACAGAUAGGCGUAAGUUUAUGGUUGGCGUAACAGAAAAUAACCGUCCGCCCGUCCGCGGAUAAGGGUGAAAAGGUGGGGUAAGAGCCUACCGGCGUCGGUAGCGAUACCGGCGGCCGUACGCACCGGCAGAUUGCAAGGCCAUGUAAACCGGCGUUUGAGGGUUGCUCGCCCGAUGCCGGAGGGUAGGCUGCAUAGAUAAAUGAUAAGACCAGACAGAAUCCGGCUUACAGGCAUACCGAUUUU